This 120-nucleotide ribosomal RNA is filed under the name Scophthalmus maximus (turbot). Lineage: Eukaryota; Metazoa; Chordata; Actinopteri; Pleuronectiformes; Scophthalmidae. The record is from RNAcentral.
GCUUACGGCCACACCGCCUGGUUCACGCCACGAUCUCGUUUGAUCUCGGAAGAUAAGAUAGGGUGGGCCUGGUUAGUACCUGGAUGGGAGACCGCCUGGGAUUACCAGGUGCUGUAAACU